Long non-coding RNA from Echinops telfairi (small Madagascar hedgehog), 464 nucleotides. RefSeq lists it as uncharacterized. The transcript is spliced from 2 exons. The record is from RefSeq and is a predicted model, not a curated record. NCBI's taxonomy places the organism in Eukaryota, Metazoa, Chordata, Mammalia, Afrosoricida, Tenrecidae.
UUCCAUAAGAAAGCUGCAACCUCAGUGGGAGGAAGAAUUUGUCGCCCUGGCCCCCCUUCCCCCACGCCGGUUUUCUGCUGGAAGCGGGCUCCUGGUCUCAGAGCCCGAAGUGUGCACUCUUGUCUUUGAUGGUGUUGAUAAAAUGUGGUUUCGAAUGUUGCCCAGAAGGAGGCCGGUUUCCUGUCUGUAGGGCUAGGGGAAGGCUGCGCCGGGCGAGUCCAGAGCUCCGGGUAACCGAGAAGGAGGGAGUAGGGGAAAGAAGAGUCCUGGGGACACGGGAGCUACCGAGAGGACACCUUGAAGAGAAAGUUCUUCGUGUGCAGUGUUCCGGCCGACUAAAUGGGCUUGCCUUCUGCUAAGAGUCAGUCCUGGAAGACAAAGCUAACAUGUGAUCUCCCGGAAGUUCGUCAUUAGAAUACCCCCAUCAUAGCCAUCACAAUAAAGCAUGGGCACCAAUGAUCAUA